UACGGAGGAUGCAAGCGUUAUCCGGAAUGAUUGGGCGUAAAGGGUCCGCAGGUGGCAAUGUAAGUCUGCUGUCAAAGAAUGAGGCUCAACCUCAUCAAGCAGUGGAAACUACGUAGCUAGAGUACGGUCGGGGGUAGAAGGAAUUCCUGGUGUAGCGGUGGAAUGCGCAGAUAUCAGGAGGAACACCGAUUGCGAAGGCAGCUCGCUGGAACGUAACUGACGCUGAGACGCGAAAGCGUGGGGAGCAAACAGG
RNAcentral lists this ribosomal RNA (253 nucleotides) under uncultured bacterium. Its description in RNAcentral is "partial 16S ribosomal RNA". It matches the Rfam family "Bacterial small subunit ribosomal RNA", at positions 524 to 776 of the family's 1533-position model. The record is from RNAcentral.